AGAGUUUGAUCCUGGCUCAGGACGAACGCUGGCGGUGUGCUUCACACAUGCAAGUCGAACGAGGUAGCAAUACCUAGUGGCGGACGGGUGAGUAACGCGUGGGAAUCUGCCUUUAGAUGGGGGAUAACGAGCCGAAAGGUUCGCUAAUACCGCAUAUGCCGCAAGGUGAAAGGAGUAAUCCGUCUAAAGAUGAGCCCGCGUCCGAUUAGCUAGUUGGUGGGGUAAAGGCCUACCAAGGCGACGAUCGGUAGCUGGUCUGAGAGGAUGAUCAGCCACAAUGGGACUGAGACACGGCCCAUACUCCUACGGGAGGCAGCAGUGGGGAAUUUUACGCAAUGGGGGAAACCCUGACGUAGCGACACCGCGUGAGCGAAGAAGCCCCUUGGGGUGUAAAGCUCUGUCAGCUGGAACGAAACAAAUGACGGUACCAGCAGUGGAAGCAUCGGCUAACUACGUGCCAGCAGCCGCGGUAAGACGUAGGAUGCAAGCGUUGUCCGGAUUUAUUGGGCGUAAAGAGUUCGUAGGCGGUUAUUUAAGUCUGAUGUUAAAUACUGUGGCCCAACCACAGAACUGCAUUGGAUACUGGAUGACUUGGGUGCGGUAGAGGCAAGUGGAAUUCCCAGUGUAGCGGUGAAAUGCGUAGA
Molecule: ribosomal RNA, 644 nt
Filed under: uncultured bacterium
Lineage: Bacteria
Description: bacterial SSU rRNA
Rfam family: Bacterial small subunit ribosomal RNA
Source: RNAcentral